RNAcentral lists this ribosomal RNA (497 nucleotides) under uncultured bacterium. RNAcentral describes it as "partial 16S ribosomal RNA". It matches the Rfam family "Bacterial small subunit ribosomal RNA", at positions 28 to 507 of the family's 1533-position model. The record is from RNAcentral.
GAUGAACGCUGGCGGCGUGCCUAAUACAUGCAAGUCGAGCGAACAGAUGAGGAGCUUGCUCCUCUGACGUUAGCGGCGGACGGGUGAGUAACACGUGGAUAACCUACCUAUAAGACUGGGAUAACUUCGGGAAACCGGAGCUAAUACCGGAUAAUAUAUUGAACCGCAUGGUUCAAUAGUGAAAGACGGUUUUGCUGUCACUUAUAGAUGGAUCCGCGCCGCAUUAGCUAGUUGGUAAGGUAACGGCUUACCAAGGCAACGAUGCGUAGCCGACCUGAGAGGGUGAUCGGCGACACUGGAACGUAGCCACGGUCCAGACUACUACGGUAGGCAGCAGUAGGGAACCUUCCGCAAUGGGCGAAAGCAUGACGGAGCAACGCCGCGUGAGUGAUGAAGGUCUUCGGAUCGUAAAACUCUGUUUUUAGGGAAGAACAACUGUGUAAGUAACUAUGCCCGUCUUGACGGUACCUAAUCAGAAAGCCACGGCUAACUACGUG